RNAcentral lists this ribosomal RNA (911 nucleotides) under uncultured bacterium. RNAcentral's name for it is "bacterial SSU rRNA". It matches the Rfam family "Bacterial small subunit ribosomal RNA", at positions 548 to 1459 of the family's 1533-position model. The record is from RNAcentral.
GAUUUAUNGGGCGUAAAGGGAGCGCAGGCGNUCAGGAGAGUCUGGAGUAAAAGGCUAUGGCUCAACCAUAGUGUGCUCUGGAAACUGUCUGACUUGAGUGCAGAAGGGGAGAGUGGAAUUCCAUGUGUAGCGGUGAAAUGCGUAGAUAUAUGGAGGAACACCAGUGGCGAAAGCGGCUCUCUGGUCUGUCACUGACGCUGAGGCUCGAAAGCGUGGGUAGCGAACAGGAUUAGAUACCCUGGUAGUCCACGCCGUAAACGAUGAGUGCUAGGUGUUAGGCCCUUUCCGGGGCUUAGUGCCGGAGCUAACGCAAUAAGCACUCCGCCUGGGGAGUACGACCGCAAGGUUGUAACUCAAAGGAAUUGACGGGGGCCCGCACAAGCGGUGGAGCAUGUGGUUUAAUUCGAAGCAACGCGAAGAACCUUACCAGGUCUUGACAUCCCGAUGCUAUUCUUAGAGAUAGGAAGUUACUUCGGUACAUCGGAGACAGGUGGUGCAUGGUUGUCGUCAGCUCGUGUCGUGAGAUGUUGGGUUAAGUCCCGCAACGAGCGCAACCCUUAUUGUUAGUUGCCAUCAUUAAGUUGGGCACUCUAGCGAGACUGCCGGUAAUAAACCGGAGGAAGGUGGGGAUGACGUCAAAUCAUCAUGCCCCUUAUGACCUGGGCUACACACGUGCUACAAUGGUCGGUACAACGAGUUGCGAGCCGGUGACGGCAAGCUAAUCUCUGAAAGCCGAUCUCAGUUCGGAUUGGAGGCUGCAACUCGCCUCCAUGAAGUCGGAAUCGCUAGUAAUCGCGGAUCAGCACGCCGCGGUGAAUGCGUUCCCGGGCCUUGUACACACCGCCCGUCACACCACGAGAGUUUGUAACACCCGAAGUCGGUGAGGUAACCUUUUAGGGGCCANCCGCCUA